Molecule: ribosomal RNA, 357 nt
Filed under: Demospongiae sp. Unknown2009PCR2C6
Lineage: Eukaryota; Metazoa; Porifera; Demospongiae
Description: bacterial SSU rRNA
Rfam family: Eukaryotic small subunit ribosomal RNA
Source: RNAcentral
GUCUGGUUAAUUCCGUUAACGAACGAGACCUUAACCUGCUAACUAGUCGUGCCGUUUUCGAACGGCGGGGCGCGGUCGGUUCGGUUGGGGGCUCGCGCCUCGUUCCGUUCCGGUCCGUCCCAGGUCCUCCGGGGCCGGGCGACUUCUUAGAGGGACACUCGGCGUUUCAGCCGGGGGAGGACUGAGGCAAUAACAGGUCUGUGAUGCCCUUAGAUGUUCUGGGCCGCACGCGCGCUACACUGGCGGAGACAGCGAGCGUGUCCUUCGCCGGAAGGUGCGGGCAAUCUUGCGAGUCUCCGCCGUGCUUGGGAUUGAUGGUUNCAAUUUUCGAUCAUGAACGAGGAAUUCCUAGUAAGC